UUUUCUUGUUAGUUUUUGAAGUACGGCCUGCCCACUGAUUAAAGGGCCGCGGUAUUUUGACCGUGCAAAGGUAGCAUAAUCAUUAGUUCUUUAAUUGUGAUCUGGUAUGAAUGGCUUGACGAGACAUGAGCUGUCUUCUUGAAUUUGGUUUUUGAGUUAAAAUUCUUAGAUGUUUUUAUGGGACGAGAAGACCCUAUAGAGUUUGACAUUGGUUUUUUGUUUGUUUUGUUGUUUUAUAUUGUUUUGUUGGGGUGAUGGGAGGAAUUUUCUUAACUCCUCUUUGUUGGUAUAUUAUUUGUUUUAUUUUGAUCCAUUUAUUUUGAUUGUGAGAUUAAAUUACCUUAGGGAUAACAGCGUUAUCUCCCUUGAGAGUUCUUAUUGGCAGGGGGGUUUGCGACCUCGAUGUUGGAUUAAGAUUAAUUUUUGGUGUAGGAGCUGAAUUGAUUGGGUCUGUUCGACCUUUAAAAUCUU
Molecule: ribosomal RNA, 471 nt
Filed under: Microtermes sp. Darlington 1970
Lineage: Eukaryota; Metazoa; Arthropoda; Insecta; Blattodea; Termitidae
Description: partial 16S ribosomal RNA
Rfam family: Bacterial large subunit ribosomal RNA
Source: RNAcentral